RNAcentral lists this ribosomal RNA (1435 nucleotides) under Bacillus amyloliquefaciens. RNAcentral describes it as "bacterial SSU rRNA". It matches the Rfam family "Bacterial small subunit ribosomal RNA". The record is from RNAcentral. Lineage: Bacteria; Bacillati; Bacillota; Bacilli; Caryophanales; Bacillaceae.
CUUAUACUUGCAAGUCGAGCGGACAGAUGGGAGCUUGCUCCCUGAUGUUAGCGGCGGACGGGUGAGUAACACGUGGGUAACCUGCCUGUAAGACUGGGAUAACUCCGGGAAACCGGGGCUAAUACCGGAUGGUUGUUUGAACCGCAUGGUUCAGACAUAAAAGGUGGCUUCGGCUACCACUUACAGAUGGACCCGCGGCGCAUUAGCUAGUUGGUGAGGUAACGGCUCACCAAGGCGACGAUGCGUAGCCGACCUGAGAGGGUGAUCGGCCACACUGGGACUGAGACACGGCCCAGAYUCCUACGGGAGGCAGCAGUAGGGAAUCUUCCGCAAUGGACGAAAGUCUGACGGAGCAACGCCGCGUGAGUGAUGAAGGUUUUCGGAUCGUAAAGCUCUGUUGUUAGGGAAGAACAAGUGCCGUUCAAAUAGGGCGGCACCUUGACGGUACCUAACCAGAAAGCCACGGCUAACUACGUGCCAGCAGCCGCGGUAAUACGUAGGUGGCAAGCGUUGUCCGGAAUUAUUGGGCGUAAAGGGCUCGCAGGCGGUUUCUUAAGUCUGAUGUGAAAGCCCCCGGCUCAACCGGGGAGGGUCAUUGGAAACUGGGGAACUUGAGUGCAGAAGAGGAGAGUGGAAUUCCACGUGUAGCGGUGAAAUGCGUAGAGAUGUGGAGGAACACCAGUGGCGAAGGCGACUCUCUGGUCUGUAACUGACGCUGAGGAGCGAAAGCGUGGGGAGCGAACAGGAUUAGAUACCCUGGUAGUCCACGCCGUAAACGAUGAGUGCUAAGUGUUAGGGGGUUUCCGCCCCUUAGUGCUGCAGCUAACGCAUUAAGCACUCCGCCUGGGGAGUACGGUCGCAAGACUGAAACUCAAAGGAAUUGACGGGGGCCCGCACAAGCGGUGGAGCAUGUGGUUUAAUUCGAAGCAACGCGAAGAACCUUACCAGGUCUUGACAUCCUCUGACAAUCCUAGAGAUAGGACGUCCCCUUCGGGGGCAGAGUGACAGGUGGUGCAUGGUUGUCGUCAGCUCGUGUCGUGAGAUGUUGGGUUAAGUCCCGCAACGAGCGCAACCCUUGAUCUUAGUUGCCAGCAUUCAGUUGGGCACUCUAAGGUGACUGCCGGUGACAAACCGGAGGAAGGUGGGGAUGACGUCAAAUCAUCAUGCCCCUUAUGACCUGGGCUACACACGUGCUACAAUGGACAGAACAAAGGGCAGCGAAACCGCGAGGUUAAGCCAAUCCCACAAAUCUGUUCUCAGUUCGGAUCGCAGUCUGCAACUCGACUGCGUGAAGCUGGAAUCGCUAGUAAUCGCGGAUCAGCAUGCCGCGGUGAAUACGUUCCCGGGCCUUGUACACACCGCCCGUCACACCACGAGAGUUUGUAACACCCGAAGUCGGUGAGGUAACCUUUAUGGAGCCAGCCGCCCGAAAGUG